Long non-coding RNA from Dreissena polymorpha, 275 nucleotides. RefSeq lists it as uncharacterized. The record is from RefSeq and is a predicted model, not a curated record. The transcript has 2 exons. NCBI's taxonomy places the organism in Eukaryota, Metazoa, Mollusca, Bivalvia, Myida, Dreissenidae.
UUUUGAUUAACUGAUUACGCAUCGUAAACACGUUUUUCUAUCGACGAUUUUGAGCAUGUUACCGAUAGAAAACAUCUUCAUGUGGUUCAUCUUUAUUCUAAAUACAAAGUAGAUCUAGGAAGUCAAUGGCAGACUACCCAGGACCAUUCUGUCAUGAAAAUGGUAUAACAACCUCUCUUUAGAAGAAGGCAGAAACCUUGUAGCCUAUAAACAGGCAGAAGAAUGGACUCAUUCUUGAAAUAAAUACUUUUAUAGAAAAAAUGGGGAAAUUUCAA